UGUACCUGUAUAAAGGGAAGCCGGGUUUUCUCGUUGGAUUAUUUCCUCCCGAGCUUCUGGUGCGAUACAGCGGUAGACGCUGGCUUGUUGGUUAAAUUACUGAGGCGAUCAGGUCAUGUGAUUGCUACAGCGCGGCUGUUUUUCUUUCCUUUGCUCCAGCCGUGGUGAGGAGACGCGUGAGUGCAUCCGCCGUGCAGUACAGCGCCUCCAAGUUCUGGGGGUUUGAUUGCUGCCGUGCCCUCUCGGGGACCAACCGCCUGCUUUGGUUACGUAGAGAGUCGGGCGCCUGCUCUGCUGCUGUCUUGUUUUGUUGAUCUUGUUUGUUUGAUUUUGU
Molecule: long non-coding RNA, 334 nt
Organism: Oreochromis aureus
Lineage: Eukaryota; Metazoa; Chordata; Actinopteri; Cichliformes; Cichlidae
Exons: 3
Source: RefSeq, a predicted model, not a curated record